This 237-nucleotide ribosomal RNA is filed under the name Burkholderiales bacterium RIFCSPHIGHO2_01_FULL_64_960. Its description in RNAcentral is "partial 23S ribosomal RNA". It matches the Rfam family "Bacterial large subunit ribosomal RNA", at positions 2702 to 2925 of the family's 2925-position model. Lineage: Bacteria; Pseudomonadati; Pseudomonadota; Betaproteobacteria; Burkholderiales. The record is from RNAcentral.
CACACCUCUGGUGUAUCGGUUGUCACGCCAGUGGCAUUGCCGAGUAGCUAAGUGUGGAAGAGAUAACCGCUGAAAGCAUCUAAGCGGGAAACUCGUUUCAAGAUGAGAUCUGCCGGGGCCUUGAGCCCCCUAAAGAGUCGUUCAAGACCAGGACGUUGAUAGGUCAGGUGUGGAAGCGCAGUAAUGCGUUAAGCUAACUGAUACUAAUUGCUCGUGCGGCUUGACCCUAUAACUUUG